RNAcentral lists this ribosomal RNA (257 nucleotides) under uncultured Pseudomonas sp. RNAcentral's name for it is "partial 16S ribosomal RNA". It matches the Rfam family "Bacterial small subunit ribosomal RNA", at positions 96 to 356 of the family's 1533-position model. The record is from RNAcentral. Lineage: Bacteria; Pseudomonadati; Pseudomonadota; Gammaproteobacteria; Pseudomonadales; Pseudomonadaceae.
CGGCGGACGGGUGAGUAAUGCCUAGGAAUCUGCCUGGUAGUGGGGGACAACGUUUCGAAAGGAACGCUAAUACCGCAUACGUCCUACGGGAGAAAGCAGGGGACCUUCGGGCCUUGCGCUAUCAGAUGAGCCUAGGUCGGAUUAGCUAGUUGGUGAGGUAAUGGCUCCCCAAGGCGACGAUCCGUAACUGGUCUGAGAGGAUGAUCAGUCACACUGGAACUGAGACACGGUCCAGACUCCUACGGGAGGCAGCAGCG